AACGAACUCUGGUAUUGAUUGGUGCUUGCAUCAUGAUUUACAUUUGAGUGAGUGGCGAACUGGUGAGUAACACGUGGGAAACCUGCCCAGAAGCGGGGGAUAACACCUGGAAACAGAUGCUAAUACCGCAUAACAACUUGGACCGCAGGGUCCGAGUUUGAAAGAUGGCUUCGGCUAUCACUUUUGGAUGGUCCCGCGGCGUAUUAGCUAGAUGGUGGGGUAACGGCUCACCAUGGCAAUGAUACGUAGCCGACCUGAGAGGGUAAUCGGCCACAUUGGGACUGAGACACGGCCCAAACUCCUACGGGAGGCAGCAGUAGGGAAUCUUCCACAAUGGACGAAAGUCUGAUGGAGCAACGCCGCGUGAGUGAAGAAGGGUUUCGGCUCGUAAAACUCUGUUGUUAAAGAAGAACAUAUCUGAGAGUAACUGUUCAGGUAUUGACGGUAUUUAACCAGAAAGCCACGGCUAACUACGUGCCAGCAGCCGCGGUAAUACGUAGGUGGCAAGCGUUGUCCGGAUUUAUUGGGCGUAAAGCGAGCGCAGGCGGUUUUUUAAGUCUGAUGUGAAAGCCUUCGGCUCAACCGAAGAAGUGCAUCGGAAACUGGGAAACUUGAGUGCAGAAGAGGACAGUGGAACUCCAUGUGUAGCGGUGAAAUGCGUAGAUAUAUGGAAGAACACCAGUGGCGAA
Molecule: ribosomal RNA, 689 nt
Filed under: Lactiplantibacillus plantarum
Lineage: Bacteria; Bacillati; Bacillota; Bacilli; Lactobacillales; Lactobacillaceae
Description: bacterial SSU rRNA
Rfam family: Bacterial small subunit ribosomal RNA
Source: RNAcentral